UCACGGGAUGACCUGGAAGAGCUAUACAUUGACGUUGUUAUCGUUCCAUCAUAAAGAGCCUUGUUGGCGCAAU
RNAcentral lists this transfer RNA (73 nucleotides) under Eremothecium gossypii FDAG1. RNAcentral describes it as "tRNA-Lys". Lineage: Eukaryota; Fungi; Ascomycota; Saccharomycetes; Saccharomycetales; Saccharomycetaceae. The record is from RNAcentral.